GAUGAACGCUGGCGGCGUGCCUAAUACAUGCAAGUCGAGCGAACAGAUAAGGAGCUUGCUCCUUUGACGUUAGCGGCGGACGGGUGAGUAACACGUGGGUAACCUACCUAUAAGACUGGAAUAACUCCGGGAAACCGGGGCUAAUGCCGGAUAACAUUUAGAACCGCAUGGUUCUAAAGUGAAAGAUGGUUUUGCUAUCACUUAUAGAUGGACCCGCGCCGUAUUAGCUAGUUGGUAAGGUAACGGCUUACCAAGGCAACGAUACGUAGCCGACCUGAGAGGGGGAUCGGCCAAACGGGAACUGGGACCCGGUCCAGACUCCUACGGGAGGCAGCAGUAGGGAAUCUUCGGCAAAGGGCGAAAGCCUGACGGAGCAACGCCGCGUGAGUGAUGAAGGUCUUCGGAUCGUAAAACUCUGUUAUUAGGGAAGAACAAAUGUGUAAGUAACUGUGCACGUCUUGACGGUACCUAAUCAGAAAGCCACGGCUAACUACGUG
This 497-nucleotide ribosomal RNA is filed under the name uncultured bacterium. Its description in RNAcentral is "partial 16S ribosomal RNA". It matches the Rfam family "Bacterial small subunit ribosomal RNA", at positions 28 to 507 of the family's 1533-position model. The record is from RNAcentral.